AAAGAUGAGGCUGCUGUCAUUUGUGGUGUUGGCUCUAUUUGCUGUCACUCAAGCAGAGGAAGGAGCCAGGCUUUUGGCUUCCAAAUCACUGCUGAACAGAUACGCCGUGGAGGGACGAGACCUGACCUUGCAGUACAACAUCUACAAUGUUGGCUCAAGUGCUGCAUUAGACGUGGAACUAUCUGAUGAUUCCUUCCCUCCAGAAGACUUUGGCAUUGUGUCUGGAAUGCUCAAUGUCAAAUGGGACCGGAUUGCCCCUGCUAGCAAUGUCUCCCACACUGUGGUCCUGCGCCCUCUCAAGGCUGGUUAUUUCAACUUCACCUCGGCAACAAUUACUUACCUGGCCCAGGAGGAUGGGCCCGUUGUGAACCAACCUCAGGACUCUUUGGUUCUACCUGGUAGUUGAUGGGUUAAUAGACAUAAAAUCAAAGGCUUAGCUGCCACUUUGGAAUAAAGUUGUUUGCAGUGUGCUCCAAACUCUUGGCUUCCUCUCCAAGACAAAGGAAUGUGGACCAGACUCAACCCCUCCUCUAAUAAUGUACAUUUGGGUAGAGCUUUAUACUUCAUUAUAUAUUUUUGCUAUUUCAUUUGAGCCUCACAUUAACCCUGUGAAGUAGUGGAUUUUUGCUGGAGGAUUAAGUAAAUGAUUACCAAGGGUAAGUCAUUCCACGCACACCUUGCGCUGUAGAGGGGCCAGUGGUGGUGAGCAACUUCACUCUUUGCAGAGUCUGAGGCUCAGACAGAAGAAUUUGGCUUUAAUUUCAUUUGCAUGCCUGGCCUACCUUGUUUAAUAUAUGUUCUCCAUGGGGUAUUUCUCAGGUCUUCUGGCUCCUAGGUACUCCUCUUUAUAACACACUAAGAGAGAAUCAUCCAACUCUCUCUAGCCAAAAGCUUUCCCUCAUCUUCUUGAAGUUCUCCUGAGCCUUUGGGAACUAAGACUCUAAUGCAUAGAGUGGGGUUGGUUGGGACUGCCCUUUCUCAGAGUAGAUGAGGUAGAACUUCAUGAGGUGGACUUGCCUUAAUGUCGUUCUUUUCUUCUUUUCAGAUUGGCUCUACCAGUGCACCUGGACAGGGAGGAAUCCUGGCUCAGCGGGAGUUUGACAGGCGAUUCUCCCCUCAUUUUCUGGACUGGGCAGCCUUUGGGGUCAUGACCCUUCCCUCCAUCGGCAUCCCCCUGCUAUUGUGGUACUCCAGCAAGAGGAAAUAUGACACUCCCAAAACGAAGAAGAACUGAUUGGGGCUUCCACAGCCCUCCUCUCCCAAGAAAUCCAGGCUCCUCUCCCAAGAAAUCCAGGUGCUUUCCAGACUCCAAAGAGUAUCUUAAAUGCAAUCUCUUCUCUCUUAGCCCUUGGCCACUUUCUCCUGGAUCCUGCCCUGCUCUCAGCCAUAGUGAAGGACCAGGCCUAGGAGUCUGCGAGAGCCUCCUUGGUUCCAUCGUGAAGCCAUAAACAGGAAUGCCUUUGGCAAUAGCCUUGAGCCUAGAGGGCCCUCUGAUGCCCCACUGAGGUGCUGUUGGUUUAUUGCUGGCAAUGUGAAUUCUCUCAGGGGUCUAGGAGGGGCAUUUUGGAGACUGCCUGACACCACCCCUAUCCCCUGCCUCCCCCUCUCAGAAGAGGGUGGAAGAUGAAAUGAAAGCUAUGGGACUCUUGGAGGAUACCCAGUGUCUAUUCUGGGUUAGAGAAGUGCUUACUAAGGGGUUUUCUAAUAAAAAC
This 1712-nucleotide small RNA is filed under the name Pan troglodytes (chimpanzee). RNAcentral's name for it is "retained intron". Lineage: Eukaryota; Metazoa; Chordata; Mammalia; Primates; Hominidae. The record is from RNAcentral.